RNAcentral lists this transfer RNA (72 nucleotides) under Nematostella vectensis (starlet sea anemone). It matches the Rfam family "tRNA". From Rfam's summary of the family: Transfer RNA (tRNA) molecules are approximately 80 nucleotides in length. Lineage: Eukaryota; Metazoa; Cnidaria; Anthozoa; Actiniaria; Edwardsiidae. The record is from Rfam by way of RNAcentral.
GGCUCAGUUGUCUAGUGGUAUGAUUCUCGCUUUGGGUGCGAGAGGCCAUGAGUUCGAUUCCCGUCUGAGCCC